Molecule: transfer RNA, 69 nt
Filed under: Abyssochrysos melanioides
Lineage: Eukaryota; Metazoa; Mollusca; Gastropoda; Abyssochrysidae
Description: tRNA-Tyr
Rfam family: tRNA
About the family: Transfer RNA (tRNA) molecules are approximately 80 nucleotides in length. Their secondary structure includes four short double-helical elements and three loops (D, anti-codon, and T loops). Further hydrogen bonds mediate the characteristic L-shaped molecular structure. tRNAs have two regions of fundamental functional importance: the anti-codon, which is responsible for specific mRNA codon recognition, and the 3' end, to which the tRNAs corresponding amino acid is attached (by aminoacyl-tRNA synthetases). tRNAs cope with the degeneracy of the genetic code in two manners: having more than one tRNA (with a specific anti-codon) for a particular amino acid; and 'wobble' base-pairing, i.e. permitting non-standard base-pairing at the 3rd anti-codon position.
Source: RNAcentral
UUGUUUGAUGGCUGAGUAUGGAAGCGAUAGACUGUAGAUCUAUUAACGAGAUUAAUUUCUCUCAACAAA